Molecule: long non-coding RNA, 1285 nt
Filed under: Capra hircus (goat)
Lineage: Eukaryota; Metazoa; Chordata; Mammalia; Artiodactyla; Bovidae
Description: lncRNA (ENSCHIG00000000953.1)
Source: RNAcentral
CUGUGGAUCAGGCUCUGUGCUUUGCGUGGAAGCUAGAGGAAAAAGACAAAUCUCCUGUCCUCAGGGAGCUCAGAAGAUCUCUAGUCUGACAUUUGUCAUCCUUACAGCACAGCAAUGGUGAUCCUUGACUGGAUGCCUUUUGUGUGUUAAGAACUGUGACAGCUCCAGUGAGCUAAGACACCUUUGUCCAAGAAGGUCAGACCAGGACCUGCAUCAUAAUGACAGAGAGCAAUCAGGCCUUAUAUCCAUGGGAACAGAGGGAGAAAUUGGUGUGAGCUGUAAAGGAGAGAAAGGACAGAAGCAGAACACAGGCGUUUGCUUACAAAGGUUAGCUUACAGCGGUCCUAGGAAGUGACUGUUAUCCUCUCUAAAAUAUGAGACAUCCUGCCUCCACGUGGUUGGCUCUUCUUCUCCAUGUCCCAUAGCUGGACACAGAGCUUCUCAAAAGUUGAGCAAGUCUUUACGUCUGUGUAUCAUCAAAACAUCUUGGCACAGGAUAAACCCUCAAUAAGUCCUUGGGGAAUGAAGAAGUACCUAGAAGCUCUGGAAGCAGAUUUCAAACUCAGAACUCUCUGAUUCCAGAGUCUGUGGUCUUCUCUUCCAUGGUGAGCGCUGCUGACAAAAUGGAGAAGCCCAGAUGAGUAGCAAGCUUGGGGAAACAGACACAGCCUUCCAGGUGGGAUUCCAAACACGAGGAGAGGAAAUAGCCUGGAGAAGAAGAAUGUUUGGAGAGGGCAGAGGGAAGUGGUCCCUUGCUAUGCAUUCUGAGGACCUCUUGUUCCCUGAGAUGCUCUAAAAGGGCUCUGGGGCCAGUAGGCUUCAUGAUGACUCAGGGCACCUACUGAUAUAUGAUGUCUCUGAGAAUUUCUGCAGUCAAGUUACUGGUUUCUCCUAAACAAAAACAAUGUGCCAACCUCUGCUCUACAGUUCAUGAAGAAGGCCUUAUAAUAAGGCCUAAGAAAAAGGAAAACAAUAGCUCCACAAUUUGUGAUGGAAAAGUAAAGUGGAUUUGCAUGAAGGCUUUGGGGAAGUUAAAACAAGUCAAGCCGUGGGAUGAAAAACUGGAAUGAAGAUGUUUAAUUUAAAUUACAAGUUUUAAAAUGAAUAUUGUUGAAGCAGAAGUGUAUAUUCUAGUUAGUAUUUUAUGCUGGAACUUAACUUCUACGAAAUAACUUAAUGGGAAGUCUGAGAUUUGUCCACCAUAUUUCAGAAUCCUGAACAUUCCGCAUAGUAAUUUCCAUGUUUUCCCUGCAGCAUCACUUUUGAAAAACUUUUUUAUUUUUCC